GUGGUUAUGUAUGAAAUAGAGCUCAGUUUUCCACAUUACAAUCAGAGAAAUAGGAGCUCAAAGAAAGUGAGAGCUGCUUAAGAAAUCAACUAAUACAAUUCUUUCCUUUAGGAAAUAACAAAAUAAAAGUCAGAGAGAAUAAUUCCUUUGCCUAGGGGAUGUAAAUAGCAUCAGGGUCUGGAUUUAAACAUAGACCUCCUAAUUCUCUGUUCUAAUUUGUGAUAAAGUUUUAUCAAUCCAUGGCAAAAUAAGAAAAAUAAGAUCAAUUUGAAAAACAUUUUUCUGAAUGUGAAUUAGUUAAAUGCAAUGAACUAUCCUUUAUCCUGAGACUUAGGCCCUUCUAACCCUUCUACCAUUUUUGGUAAUAAAAUAUUGUCCCUAUUAGGAAAGAAUGACUCCAGAUGUAUUUGGAGUUUUGGGGAGUUUCUUAAUGCUUUUAUUUUAGUAAUCCUAAUGCAAUUCACCACAACUAUCCCUUUUUAAAAAUAAACAAAAAUCUAAGAGUCACUGAAAUAGAGUACUUCUAUCCAAAGAACCAUAGAGAUGUUCUGGUUCCUAGAGAGCAAGACAUGGUGCACAGACCUGUGGGUGAAACCCGAUGGAGACCCAUGGGAAAUGGAAGGCACAAAUUACUAGAAAAGCUUCAUCAGACUUGAGUCACCACCAAAAUGUCCUCGUAUACCAGUUUGACCACACUACUCAGAUUCCACAUUUCCAUUUUAACAGAGGCUUCUAAAGAUGUCAAAACAUCAAUCUAAAGAAGUGAAUGAAAUUGCAGCCUCCCUCCUUGCCUGCCCAGCUGUAGUUAGGGGUUGGUGAGCCAUGAGCCGGUGAGUUCCUUCCAGCCUGGGGCCUCAUCAGCUGCCAACCAGCCCUUCAUAGAAAAGAGCACACGAAGGGUUUUAAAAGAGGAAGAUGACAACGGGAUGUCUCAGAGAUCUGAAAGCAUUUUCAAGGGAAAAGGAAACCAAAAAAGGAAAGAAAUAUGUCAUCAACAUUUAUCUAUAUAUCCUCAUCCUGUAGCUGAAACUUUGUUUCAUCCAAUUCCUGGUGUCAUAGUUGUCUAAGGGGCCACAUGAUUCUCUACCAGGAUGGGCCAUUCUAGUAAGACUGCACCUGGCCAAAGAUAAAGCUGUCUUUACAUCUGGACUACUUCUUGGAAUGUUUCAGAUGGUCUCACAUGAGCUCACCUAGAAACGUUUGCAACUCCAGGAAACAGCAGCUGCAAGGAGGAGAAAAGGGAGCUAACAGUUAUUGAACAGCUUUGUGAGAGGUCAUGUUUAGAAGCUUUUCAAGUGCUUUCUCUUUUUAUCUUCUCAACAAUCCCACGUGGUAUCAUCAUCCUCAUUUUAUAGUGAAGGAAACAGAUGCUCAGCGAUGUUGGGUAACUUGCCCCAGGGCAGAAAGCAGAACUGGUCCUGUUCAGCCCAGGAUCAAGCCGGAAUUCAAAUCCAGAUCCUCCUGCCUCUGAAAUGCUCUUUUCAUAAGAUUGAGCUUCAGUAUAUGUGGCCAUCCCAUACACUCAGGAAGUGGGGAAGGAGGAUGUGGUUCCUGAGCCAUGAAAUAGUCCAGAGAGAAUCUAAGAGACAGAAUCAGAAAAACAUUAGCCCUACAGUCAUCAUCAACACACAAGUUGAAUAACAUCAAGUUUUUAGUCCCAGGCUUCCUGUGGACUAUCUUUCUGAAGUCCCCUGCUUGAAGGCCGUGCUGGAUGGCCGAGCACUUUGGCAUAGGAAGGAGAGGAAUUUGUAUUUCAUUAAACAACAACAACAACAACAAUUCAGAAUUGUAAUUCUCUUUUUUUUUUUUUUUUUGUGACAGUUUUGCUCUUGUUGCCCAGGCUGGAGUGCAAUGGCGCGAUCUCAGCUCACUGCAACCUCCGCCUCCCAGGUUCAAGUGAUUCUCCUGCCUCAGCCUCCCGAGUAGCUGAGAUUACAGGCAUGUGCCACCACGUCCAGCUAAUUUUGUAUUUUUAGUAGAGACCGGGUUUCUCCAUGUUGGUCAGGCUGCUCUCAAACUCCCGAUCUCAGGUGAUCCACCGCCUCAGCCUCCCAAAGUGCUGGGAUUGCAGGCGUGAGCCACCAUGCCAGGCUGAGACAAUGAAAAGGUGGACAUUUGAUGAGCUUGUGUUUCUAACAGUUUAUAGAGUUCAGAAACAUGGAGAUUUGUUUGCAUGACACUUUCAUUACAGAAUUAUUAUUCAGUUGAUUUAUUCUUUCAUUCCAGAUCAUUAAUAUUAACUGAUAUCAGGGGUGUUAAAUAUUUAGAGAUAGAAAAAGAAAUGUAUCUAAUGAGCAAAAAUACAUUUUAAGAUUUAAAAAAAAAAAGAAAUCAAAUCUUUGGGAUCCAACAUGGGACUUUGGACAGCUCAGGAUAUCCGCUGGUUUCUGCCUGGGAUCUGAAGACUGUUUACAUUCCAGUGGAAUUCCUGGGAAAGUCCAGAGCUCUCACUGCUGUGAAAACAAUGGCUUAUGGUGAUAAACUCUCAACUGCCUCACCCUGAGAAGUGGCAAGGCCUGCAAAGUUUCCCUGGGCAGGAUGGACAGGGCCAGGCAGCAUUCCUAGGAAGAAAUUGCCUUGUUUGCUGCCUUGAGCUGAAACUAAAGCUGGUUUGAAGGCAUGCAGACUUCUGCCUGCUGAACCAUGACUGGGCUUUGACAAAGGUGACUACUACACCUCUUGUCAUCAACAGCUGUCAUUGCUGACAAUUUCCACAAGGAGUCACAGCCACUCUCUGGGCAGGCUGGGCACUCCUAAGGUAUGGGAACCUUUUGUUCACUUCACUAGGAAGUCGUGGAGAUGGAGCCAGUGAUAGUUGGCCUUAAGCUAUACUAAAUCCCUCCUUUUGCAGAACAGGAAACAGAGGUCCAAGAAGUUCAUUCAGUAUUUUAACAUGGCUGGUUAGUGGCAGGGCCAAGACAAGGAGCCAAGCUUCACUUAUCAACUCAACACAUAUUAAUCAUGCUCUGCACCAUGUGCAGGGAAAGAGCAGUGAGUGAAACUGUUAGGAAAGGAGGGAUGGAUUUGGGGGUAAGUCCAUCCUCCAAUUUUCAGUUUUCAGCCUCUUAAGAAAGAGAACUUGAUGCUUGGUUUAAUCUAGAAGAAGCUAAACAUGGAAAUAUUCCUCUUGCCAGGGGUUGAUUUAGGGGUGGGCGUACGAUCUAGUUCUGGUCAAGUAGGUAUGAAGGGAAAUUUGCUAUGGGGCUUGGUAAUGUUUCUGGGAACAAUUUUUCUUCCACUAAAGGUUGCUGCAUGGGGAUGUAGUGCCUGUCGACAAGCUGACAUAGUACAGAAGAGAGAUGGAAAAAAACCCUGGGCCCUUGACAACAUCACUGAGCUGCUGAAAAACCAAACUCACAGGCCCUGCUACAACACUUGUUGAGAUGUGAGCUGAUAAAAUUAGCUUACUAAUUCAGUCAGCUGAGUUAGGUUUUCUAAU
Molecule: long non-coding RNA, 3439 nt
Filed under: Homo sapiens (human)
Lineage: Eukaryota; Metazoa; Chordata; Mammalia; Primates; Hominidae
Description: HSALNT0113904
Source: RNAcentral